RNAcentral lists this non-coding RNA (22 nucleotides) under Arabidopsis thaliana (thale cress). Lineage: Eukaryota; Viridiplantae; Streptophyta; Magnoliopsida; Brassicales; Brassicaceae. The record is from RNAcentral.
UGAAAUACUCGUAGAUGGUGAA